GGUCCAUUAACUCAGUUGGUUCAGAGUGUCACGUCGACAACGUGGAAGUCACUGGUUCGAAUCCAGUAUGGAUCA
This 75-nucleotide transfer RNA is filed under the name Gelidibacter salicanalis. RNAcentral describes it as "tRNA-Val". It matches the Rfam family "tRNA". Rfam says of the family: Transfer RNA (tRNA) molecules are approximately 80 nucleotides in length. Their secondary structure includes four short double-helical elements and three loops (D, anti-codon, and T loops). The record is from RNAcentral. Lineage: Bacteria; Pseudomonadati; Bacteroidota; Flavobacteriia; Flavobacteriales; Flavobacteriaceae.